Dama dama (fallow deer) is the source of this 72-nucleotide non-coding RNA. NCBI's taxonomy places the organism in Eukaryota, Metazoa, Chordata, Mammalia, Artiodactyla, Cervidae. The record is from the annotation of a RefSeq genome assembly.
UUUCCAAUGGUCCAGUGGUUAGGACUCAGCGCUUUCACUGCUGGGGCCCAGGUUCGACCCCUGGUUGGGGAA